CUGAUUGGCAUAAGAUUGCUCACAUCCCGGACAUUCGGUUGUAAUCAGUUACAGGAGCAGCACCGAUAAAGAUUGAGAGGCCAUGCUUUUGCCCUAUGAAAUAAUUGGUCACCUUUUUUAUGUUUCGUUUGAGAAAAGCCAAGGGGAAAAGAGUUAGCUUUGUCUCCAUGUACACCAUUGCAAGGAAACAACCUUUAAAGGUACCCAAAUGGACAUUAAUUAAUGUGGAGAGGCCUAAAAAGCUUGCAUGCUACCCUUCACAAACGUUGUACUUCAUGCUCUGCUUUCUUCAUUUUGCAAAAUUAAGCACUAAUUUUAUCAAUCAUAUGUAUAUUCAGUUUUAUGUUUUUUCUUAAAAAUUUGUCCUAUUUUCUUUUAAUUUUUGUUAGUUUUGUCCUAUUUACUCAAAAAUUAACUUAUUAAUACAUAGUAAAACUCAAUCAACUUUAUCGUUAAACAAAAA
Long non-coding RNA from Gossypium arboreum, 463 nucleotides. RefSeq lists it as uncharacterized. NCBI's taxonomy places the organism in Eukaryota, Viridiplantae, Streptophyta, Magnoliopsida, Malvales, Malvaceae. The record is from RefSeq and is a predicted model, not a curated record. The transcript is spliced from 4 exons.